GAUGAACGCUAGCGGCAGGCUUAACACAUGCAAGUCGAGGGGCAGCAUAAUGGAUAGCAAUAUCUAUGGUGGCGACCGGCGCACGGGUGCGUAACGCGUAUGCAACCUACCUUUAACAGGGGGAUAACACUGAGAAAUUGGUACUAAUACCCCAUAAUAUCAUAGAAGGCAUCUUUUAUGGUUGAAAAUUCCGAUGGUUAGAGAUGGGCAUGCGUUGUAUUAGCUAGUUGGUGGGGUAACGGCUCACCAAGGCGACGAUACAUAGGGGGACUGAGAGGUUAACCCCCCACACUGGUACUGAGACACGGACCAGACUCCUACGGGAGGCAGCAGUGAGGAAUAUUGGUCAAUGGACGCAAGUCUGAACCAGCCAUGCCGCGUGCAGGAUGACGGCUCUAUGAGUUGUAAACUGCUUUCGUACGAGGGUAAACGCAGAUACGUGUAUCUGUCUGAAAGUAUCGUACGAAUAAGGAUCGGCUAACUCCGUG
Molecule: ribosomal RNA, 488 nt
Filed under: uncultured bacterium
Lineage: Bacteria
Description: partial 16S ribosomal RNA
Rfam family: Bacterial small subunit ribosomal RNA
Source: RNAcentral